This 564-nucleotide ribosomal RNA is filed under the name Klebsiella sp. Its description in RNAcentral is "bacterial SSU rRNA". It matches the Rfam family "Bacterial small subunit ribosomal RNA", at positions 67 to 622 of the family's 1533-position model. The record is from RNAcentral. Lineage: Bacteria; Pseudomonadati; Pseudomonadota; Gammaproteobacteria; Enterobacterales; Enterobacteriaceae.
CGGUAGCACAGAGAGCUUGCUCUCGGGUGACGAGCGGCGGACGGGUGAGUAAUGUCUGGGAAACUGCCUGAUGGAGGGGGAUAACUACUGGAAACGGUAGCUAAUACCGCAUAACGUCGCAAGACCAAAGUGGGGGACCUUCGGGCCUCAUGCCAUCAGAUGUGCCCAGAUGGGAUUAGCUAGUAGGUGGGGUAACGGCUCACCUAGGCGACGAUCCCUAGCUGGUCUGAGAGGAUGACCAGCCACACUGGAACUGAGACACGGUCCAGACUCCUACGGGAGGCAGCAGUGGGGAAUAUUGCACAAUGGGCGCAAGCCUGAUGCAGCCAUGCCGCGUGUAUGAAGAAGGCCUUCGGGUUGUAAAGUACUUUCAGCGGGGAGGAAGGCGAUAAGGUUAAUAACCUUGUCGAUUGACGUUACCCGCAGAAGAAGCACCGGCUAACUCCGUGCCAGCAGCCGCGGUAAUACGGAGGGUGCAAGCGUUAAUCGGAAUUACUGGGCGUAAAGCGCACGCAGGCGGUCUGUCAAGUCGGAUGUGAAAUCCCCGGGCUCAACCUGGGAACU